GACGUAGGUGGCGAGCGUUGUCCGGCAUUACUGGGGGUAAAGGGCGUGUAGGCGGGAAUGCAAGUUGGAUGUGAAAUUCCGGGGCUUAACCUCGGCGCUGCAUCCGAAACUGCAUUUCUUGAGUGCUGGAGAGGAAAGCGGAAUUCCUAGUGUAGCGGUGAAAUGCGUAGAUAUUAGGAGGAACACCAGUGGCGAAGGCGGCUUUCUGGACAGUAACUGACGCUGAGGCGCGAAAGCGUGGUGAGCAAACAGG
RNAcentral lists this ribosomal RNA (253 nucleotides) under uncultured bacterium. RNAcentral describes it as "partial 16S ribosomal RNA". It matches the Rfam family "Bacterial small subunit ribosomal RNA", at positions 524 to 776 of the family's 1533-position model. The record is from RNAcentral.